AAUGUCUCUAGAGCAGUGGAGUUCGUUGAGAAUCAAAUUCGACGAUAAUUCAGAGAGCGAGGGGGGAGGAGAGAGAGAGAGAGAGAGGAGACAGAAACUAGGGUUUCGUCGUCCAGAGAAUCUCUUCGAAAAAAGACAACUUUUUUAUCGUCUCUAACGAUGCCAGCCCUCGUUAAAUCCCUCUUCGUCCUCGGUUCGAGAUGCUUCGACAAAACCUUAGGCCUCGAUCGAUUCCGGAGAAAAGCGAGCGAUUUUGGCUGAUUUCUUGGUCUUUGAGGACUAAGAUGGCUCCUGCAAUGGGUAAUCCCUCAAGACCUAAUGGAUCUUCUUUAAUUCGCCCUUCAUCUAGACAUAAGAGAAGUGGCUACGAGCCAUCUGACACCGAAACCGAAUGGCAGGAGAGCCCCUGGCAUGAUGGAUUAUUGGUUUCAAAUAGGUCGAAGACUCCUAAUCCUGCCAGAAUUGAUAACCCAAUCUCAAACAGGUCUCAAACUCCUGAUCCUACCAGAGCUACUGCUCCCUCAAAUCGUAGCCAGAGGCCUACUUCAAAGGAGGACAAAGACAACUCUGCAAAUAGGACUUCAAGAAGAAGUCCUUCGGACAGAAGGCGCAGCAAAUCUCCUUAUAAGUCAAUCACACAAGGUGAAGAUGCUGCUGCUUAUAUUGGCCAUCCGGGUCUAAGGAGGAAUACCAGCCCUUUUAAGGUGUCAGAGCAUCGCAAUCCCAGUCCAUUUAAGGGUUCAUUGAAUUGUGAUACAAGUCCUUUUAAGGCUUCAGAGCAUGGAAGUAAGCAUAUUUCUCCAUAUAUGAGUAGAAGAGAGGAGUUGUAUCAUAAAAAUGAUGAUCUUGAUGGCUCAUCCCGGAAGAAAGACCACAGAACACCUUCUAGACGUCAACGCUCUGAAGAUAAAGGAACUCAUACACAACCUCAAGUAGGUCCUAAUAUGAAGGAAAGUUCUCGGAAAAAAUUUCAAGAACUUUCUCGAGCUAGUGAAAGGUCCAACUUACAUCAAAGUAGGUCGAUGUCUGUGCCAAAACUGAGAACAAAAGAAAGGGAAGGUCAGGUUAAUUCUGGUGCAGAGCGGAGGCCAUCACCACUAGCUAAGACUAUAAUCCAUGAAGAGAAUGGUGGUUCUUAUGGAAAUUAUACAGAUGAAGACAUAAAUGUUAAAAUUGCUAAUAUGAAGCUGUCUAAACCUCCCUCAGCUGGUGAUAUAUUAAAUCAAGAUACAGAGUCUGUUUCACUUGGUGAUAUCUUCGUUUCUCGUGAUUGUACAAAUCUCCACAAAGGAUCUGCAAAUAAAGGAAACAAAUCUGCUCAACGGUAUAGUACAUUUCCAGAAAGUAAAAAUGUAGUCCAUCAGUUUAAUAGAGGUAGAGGAAGUUUUAAUCAGAAUCGUCAAGUUGUUUCAAUGAGCACUGUUCUUUCACAAGCAAAUACAAGUUCAAGCUCUGCUUUUGAUCGAACUUUCGGCAGCAAGUUAAGUGAGAGCAGUGGAAAACUAAGUGGAAGUUUGAAAAAGAUCACUGCUAUCAGACAAAGAAGCCAAGCUGAUACAUGGUUGUCUUGUGUGAGAAGGGGUGGAUCAUGUGCUAAGUCGAAGUCACUGGACUCUAGAGAAGUUGAUGAGGCAUCUUUUAUUGAAAGGGCACUUGUUGUGGAAGAACUCAGACCAUCUUGGGCUGUGAAGCACAGGCCACUCUCAUUGAGUAAAUUUAUUUGUCACAAACAACAAGCUAAAUAUCUCAAAGAAUUGAUAUCCCAUGACAAUUUUCCGCAUAUUCUGUUCAAGGGACUUUCAGGCUCUGGAAAGAAAUCAUUAAUCACGGCAUUGCUGCAUGAAAUUUUUGGUGAUUCCUUGAAAACAUCUGAUGAUCUGAGACACUUCCAGGUUCAGGAAACUACGCCUAUGCAAAUUUCAGUUCCAGUAACUUCGAGUCCUCAUCAUGUGGAGCUUAACUUGAAGUCUGAAUCAAAGAAUGCUCGAUAUGCUUUGAUGGCUUUAGUUAAGGAAAUAACAAGUGAUCAUGCGCUGGCCCCUGAAGUGAGUGAUGUCAGUUUAAAGGCGGACUAUAAAGUGGUCAUUCUCCAUGAAGUUGAUAAAGUUGCUGACAGUGUUCAGCACCUGAUAAAGUGGAUAAUGGACCGUUAUACAGAAGCAUGCAAAAUCAUUCUUUGUUGUGAAGAUGAUGCUUCUAUCCUCAACUCUGUGAAGACUCGCUGCAAAUUUAUCUCUGUGGAUCCCCCUGUUACAAAUGAGAUCAUGGAGGUCCUGAUUGAUAUUGCCAAGAAGGAAAACUUGGAGCUUUCUACGAGUUUUGCUGCUAGAAUCGCUUCCAAGUCAAAGCACAAUUUACGAAGAGCAAUUAUGGCUCUUGAAGCAUGCAGAGCACACAAUUAUCCUUUCAAUGAUAGUCAACCAAUUCCAGUGGGUUGGGAGGAGGUUGUUGUGGAAGUUGCAGAAGAAAUUCUUGCUGAUCCUUCCACAAAAAGUCUGUUCUUCAUACGUGGGAAGUUCCAAAAGCUUUUGGUGGAAUUUGUGCAUCCCAAAUUGAUCCUCCAGAAACUCGUGGAACAGUUCCUCAAGCGAGUUGAAGCUAGCAUUAAACGUGAACUUUAUUAUUGGCAUGCAUAUUACGAGAAGAGAUUGCCUGUUGGAAUAGGUGCCCUGCUGAAGUUGGAAGAAUUUGUUGCAAAGUUCAUGAGCAUCUACAGGAAAAGCAGCUCAGCCCCACAGUUCGUCUAGAGCCAGGGGACCAUCUUACCGGUGACUUUAUGGCAAUCAUUUUGCUGCCAAUUCUGUUGUCAAUUGGAGAAUAAUCUGACAGAUAAAUUGAUAAAGCGUUUGUAAGAAUUUGCGUAGACUUUUGGUUAAAGAAUUAAGUUUAAGAUAUGUAAUAUUCUUCUCAAGGUUGUGCUUGAAGACCACUGCUCAGAAGGGCAACGAACUCUCUAUGUACUGAAGAGUUGCAGGCGCACAAUCAUGGAUGUUGGUACGUUCUCACGUUUAUGUGCUCAACAUGGUUGCUGAAAGUGGAAGUACAAAGCAGAGCUUGACAAAUAAAACCUCAAUACAAUCUCAUUAUUAUCCUGGACGCAAGGCGCAUCAAUCAAAGCGGUCAACAACCAAGAACUGAAUGUAUUGAACCCCACUGAUUUACUAUAUCAGAACAUUCAGAACAUUCUGUAUACGAGGGGAAGUUCAAAAUUACAACUGUUCUCUGUGUAUGGUUCAAAACA
This is an RNA transcript of Asparagus officinalis (garden asparagus), 3241 nucleotides long. RefSeq lists it as uncharacterized. Lineage: Eukaryota; Viridiplantae; Streptophyta; Magnoliopsida; Asparagales; Asparagaceae. The record is from RefSeq and is a predicted model, not a curated record. The transcript is spliced from 13 exons.